Molecule: ribosomal RNA, 471 nt
Filed under: Staphylococcus epidermidis
Lineage: Bacteria; Bacillati; Bacillota; Bacilli; Caryophanales; Staphylococcaceae
Description: bacterial SSU rRNA
Rfam family: Bacterial small subunit ribosomal RNA
Source: RNAcentral
UAACGCUGGCGGCGUGCCUAAUACAUGCAAGUCGAGCGAACAGACGAGGAGCUUGCUCCUCUGACGUUAGCGGCGGACGGGUGAGUAACACGUGGAUAACCUACCUAUAAGACUGGGAUAACUUCGGGAAACCGGAGCUAAUACCGGAUAAUAUAUUGAACCGCAUGGUUCAAUAGUGAAAGACGGUUUUGCUGUCACUUAUAGAUGGAUCCGCGCCGCAUUAGCUAGUUGGUAAGGUAACGGCUUACCAAGGCAACGAUGCGUAGCCGACCUGAGAGGGUGAUCGGCCACACUGGAACUGAGACACGGUCCAGACUCCUACGGGAGGCAGCAGUAGGGAAUCUUCCGCAAUGGGCGAAAGCCUGACGGAGCAACGCCGCGUGAGUGAUGAAGGUCUUCGGAUCGUAAAACUCUGUUAUUAGGGAAGAACAAAUGUGUAAGUAACUAUGCACGUCUUGACGGUACCUAACA